GCUCUUUCACUGGUUUUCCAGUAGAAAUGGUUUGCUUAGCUUUCAAGCUUUUUCUCUUUUUGAUGUUUCUAUACAUGGAAGAAAGGUAUUUUAUGUUCGUGAAACACUGGGCAUACUGUGCUUCUCCCAAACUCCCUCCUCUUUAAAUGAAAAAUGGAUUUGAUAUUGAUGAUGAUUGCUUUUUUUUUUUUCUUUUUUCUGUUACUUUGGUAUUUAGAAAUCCCACUGAAGGAAAAAUGCCUGAUAUUAAGAAGGUGACACUCAGGGAUUUGAGGCCACUUCUUAUCUCUUCUCUCGUGACCUUGCUUAAUGAAAUUGGCUCAGUCUGUGCAGGGCCAAGUUCCCUGCCGUCAGGCUAAAAGAGGAUGAUCAUCAAGAGAAACAAGCAAAGAGGAAAGAUCUGUGACUUCCGUCAAGGAACUCUGAGCCCACUGCAAGUUUUCACAUACCCCAGAGAAAGGUAAAUGCAAAGGAACUGUUCAUGUGUUCAGUGCGUAAUACUUUAAAAGAAGGAAACAACAUCUAAACAGGGUGUCUAAAGAAAUAAGUUUAAUGGACUACAUGUGUAAAUUCAGCCAUGCAGAGAUUGUCGUAGCAUUUUCAAGCUCUUGCCUAAAUUCUAUUUACUUGCCUAUAUACAUGACUAUGUUAUGUAAAACCUUUUUUUACCGUCUUGUACGUAGUGGAGAGUACCAUUUUUGUCCGUCACUAAAGAAAGUAAAUUAGUAACAAUUUCUACACACUGAACUGUAUCUGUACUGUGAUUUUAUUUUCCUCAAAAGAUGUCUUUCAUUCAGAAGAAAACUGGAUGUUUUCUAGGAUAACAAAAUGUGGAGUUCCAGAAGCUAAAAAAUGCCAAAUACAUUAAGUGUAGCUGUUGUAGAAAGUUAUGCAUCUGCAUGAUUUACGCAUUUUUGUUUAGGUACUUGUUUAGAGCACCUUGAAUUCUUGCAAUGUAGACAGGUGUAGAUUUUACUCAAUCCUGUCGUUUUUGCAUGUUUUCCCCUUCAGUACAGAGGAAUAUGUGAGCUUAGAAGAAACUAUUUACAAACUCUAAAGGCUAACACCUUUUCUGGAAUGAAACCUUUCCAGUGUUCCAGGAUAUUGUAAAGAGCAGUCCAUGCUGGAGGAAAGGCAGUGAAUACAUAGUGUUCAAAACUUUAAAUAGAAUAUAGUUUUGUGUGGACAAAAGCAGAUGUGUUUUUAAAAGUGCUAACUGAUCAUGCUUAAUCCUUUAAGGAAUUGCUUUCUCUGAAAUAGUGGAAUUGCUUUUAGAGUUGGUCCCUUCCUAGGGGAAAGAAAAGAAUCAAAAACUGACCCAUCAAAUACGUCAGGCUGUUACUAAACCUCACUGUGAAAGCAGCGCCACUUUCCUGACAAAUAGAUCUUGGACGCUAUUAGAAAAACAGAAAGCACUGGUGCUAACUGCUGCACUAACACUAUCUAAUUCACUUUAUUAACUAGGUAAUGAACUGAAGCCAUUGUGGUCUAAUUGAAAUAAAUAAAUACAUUAAAACGAUGAAUUAAAGUAA
RNAcentral lists this long non-coding RNA (1532 nucleotides) under Anser cygnoides (Swan goose). RNAcentral's name for it is "lncRNA (ENSACDG00005005696.1)". Lineage: Eukaryota; Metazoa; Chordata; Aves; Anseriformes; Anatidae. The record is from RNAcentral.